Molecule: ribosomal RNA, 2192 nt
Filed under: Vibrio cholerae
Lineage: Bacteria; Pseudomonadati; Pseudomonadota; Gammaproteobacteria; Vibrionales; Vibrionaceae
Description: bacterial LSU rRNA
Rfam family: Bacterial large subunit ribosomal RNA
Source: RNAcentral
UUAAGUGACUAAGCGUACACGGUGGAUGCCUGGGCAGUCAGAGGCGAUGAAGGACGUACUAACUUGCGAUAAGCGCAGAUAAGGCAGUAAGAGCCGUUUGAGUCUGCGAUUUCCGAAUGGGGAAACCCAACUGCAUAAGCAGUUACUGUUAACUGAAUACAUAGGUUAACAGAGCAAACCGGGGGAACUGAAACAUCUAAGUACCCCGAGGAGAAGAAAUCAACCGAGAUUCCGGUAGUAGCGGCGAGCGAACCUGGAUUAGCCCUUAAGCACUCGGUGAAGUAGGUGAACAAGCUGGAAAGCUUGGCGAUACAGGGUGAUAGCCCCGUAACCGACGCUUCAUCGAGCGUGAAAUCGAGUAGGGCGGGACACGUGAUAUCCUGUCUGAAUAUGGGGGGACCAUCCUCCAAGGCUAAAUACUCCUGACUGACCGAUAGUGAACCAGUACCGUGAGGGAAAGGCGAAAAGAACCCCUGUGAGGGGAGUGAAAUAGAACCUGAAACCGUGUACGUACAAGCAGUAGGAGCACCUUCGUGGUGUGACUGCGUACCUUUUGUAUAAUGGGUCAGCGACUUAUAUUCAGUGGCAAGGUUAACCGUAUAGGGGAGCCGUAGCGAAAGCGAGUCUUAACUGGGCGCUCAGUCUCUGGAUAUAGACCCGAAACCGGGUGAUCUAGCCAUGGGCAGGUUGAAGGUUGAGUAACAUCAACUGGAGGACCGAACCGACUAAUGUUGAAAAAUUAGCGGAUGACUUGUGGCUAGGGGUGAAAGGCCAAUCAAACUCGGAGAUAGCUGGUUCUCCCCGAAAGCUAUUUAGGUAGCGCCUCGGACGAAUACUACUGGGGGUAGAGCACUGUUAAGGCUAGGGGGUCAUCCCGACUUACCAACCCUUUGCAAACUCCGAAUACCAGUAAGUACUAUCCGGGAGACACACGGCGGGUGCUAACGUCCGUCGUGGAGAGGGAAACAACCCAGACCGCCAGCUAAGGUCCCAAAGUAUUGCUAAGUGGGAAACGAUGUGGGAAGGCUCAGACAGCUAGGAUGUUGGCUUAGAAGCAGCCAUCAUUUAAAGAAAGCGUAAUAGCUCACUAGUCGAGUCGGCCUGCGCGGAAGAUGUAACGGGGCUAAGCAAUACACCGAAGCUGCGGCAAUGUCUUUUAGACAUUGGGUAGGGGAGCGUUCUGUAAGCCGUUGAAGGUGAAUCGUAAGGUUUGCUGGAGGUAUCAGAAGUGCGAAUGCUGACAUGAGUAACGACAAAGGGGGUGAAAAACCUCCUCGCCGGAAGACCAAGGGUUCCUGUCCAACGUUAAUCGGGGCAGGGUGAGUCGACCCCUAAGGUGAGGCCGAAAGGCGUAAUCGAUGGGAAACGGGUUAAUAUUCCCGUACUUCUGACUAUUGCGAUGGGGGGACGGAGAAGGCUAGGUGGGCCAGGCGACGGUUGUCCUGGUUCAAGUGCGUAGGCUUGAGAGUUAGGUAAAUCCGGCUCUCUCUAAGGCUGAGACACGACGUCGAGCUACUACGGUAGUGAAGUCAUUGAUGCCAUGCUUCCAGGAAAAGCCUCUAAGCUUCAGAUAGUCAGGAAUCGUACCCCAAACCGACACAGGUGGUCGGGUAGAGAAUACCAAGGCGCUUGAGAGAACUCGGGUGAAGGAACUAGGCAAAAUGGUACCGUAACUUCGGGAGAAGGUACGCUCUUGAUGGUGAAGUCCCUCGCGGAUGGAGCUGACGAGAGUCGCAGAUACCAGGUGGCUGCAACUGUUUAUUAAAAACACAGCACUGUGCAAAAUCGCAAGAUGACGUAUACGGUGUGACGCCUGCCCGGUGCCGGAAGGUUAAUUGAUGGGGUUAGCGCAAGCGAAGCUCUUGAUCGAAGCCCCGGUAAACGGCGGCCGUAACUAUAACGGUCCUAAGGUAGCGAAAUUCCUUGUCGGGUAAGUUCCGACCUGCACGAAUGGCGUAAUGAUGGCCACGCUGUCUCCACCCGAGACUCAGUGAAAUUGAAAUCGCUGUGAAGAUGCAGUGUACCCGCGGCUAGACGGAAAGACCCCGUGAACCUUUACUACAGCUUGGCACUGAACAUUGAACCUACAUGUGUAGGAUAGGUGGGAGGCUAUGAAGACGUGACGCCAGUUGCGUUGGAGCCGUCCUUGAAAUACCACCCUUGUAUGUUUGAUGUUCUAACUUAGACCCGUU